AUGGUUAAUGGCAGCCUAGAGAAAUGGUUGCAUUCUGACCAAUACAAUGGAAUCGCAGAUAAAGGGCUAAGCUUUGCCCAGAGGAUAUGCAUAGCAGCAGAUGUGGCUUCUGCUCUUGAUUAUGCCCACAACGAACUGACGCCUCCUCUGAUCCAUUGUGAUUUGAAGCCAAACAAUGUCCUUUUGGAUGAUGACAUGACUGCGCGGCUCAGUGACUUUGGCUCAGCGAAGUUUCUAUCACCAAGUCUGCUAAUUCCUAAAAGCCUGGAUGAUGUUGGAGGGACAAUUGGAUAUGUGGCACCUGAGUAUGGAAUGGGUUGCGAGAUCUCCGUAGCCGGUGAUGUGUAUAGUUUUGGAGUGCUUCUACUGGAAUUGCUUACUGGAAAACGACCUACUGAUGAUAUGUUUGUGGAUGGACUUAGCCUUUGUAAGUUUUGUGAAUCUAUGUUCCCAGACAGAGUUUCUGAGAUUCUUGAUCCUCGUAUGGCACAUGAGGAGCAUCAAGGGUGCACAGAAGGAUGGAUUCAGAGAUAUAUUGUCCCCUUGGUUGCCCUUGGGCUGUCAUGUACCGUGGAAUCUCCAAAGGAUAGGCCCGGAAUGAAAGAUGUUUGUGCAAAACUUUCUGAUAUUAGAGCCUCUUUUCUUUAA
This 648-nucleotide ribosomal RNA is filed under the name Triticum aestivum (bread wheat). Its description in RNAcentral is "partial small subunit ribosomal RNA". Lineage: Eukaryota; Viridiplantae; Streptophyta; Magnoliopsida; Poales; Poaceae. The record is from RNAcentral.